CAGUCUCGCUCGAGCAUUCGUGGCAGGUGGAAAUUGUGUUUACCCGCGUUAACACGCUAAGGGCGCAGCGAUACCGCGUAUCCACAGGUUAUCGGCAAUUUGUGUGUUGCGACGCAGUGAAUGAACCCGAUCCGUUUACGUAAACAAGAAGACCGGACGGGCAAGUGGUGACAACCCGUCUCGCUCUCACCGCCAGUUGUCAAAAUUAUAAACUCCAUUCGGACAAGAAUUUGCAAAAAUAUCACCUCGGCUCGCUGGUGUUAGUACGAUUCAUACAAUAAUUAUUUUUAUCGUUGAAGAAAAAAAAAUAAAUAAACAAAUUAUCAUCCCCUAAUUUCGGCGGGGGACUUCUUGCCGAGUUUUUGGGGAGUUUGUCGGAAUGCAGCGACGCUUUGAUGUGAAUCGGUAAAAAAGCCAAGAUACCUCGCACCUCGACGCCGGAAGUUCGGGGUAUAGGGGGUAAAUAUUCAUGGGCAGACCAUCGGCCUCGGAACCAGAGGACCUCGUCGCUGCUUAUGGCAACCUCGGCGUUACCCAUUUACCAUCAGGCCGGCGUCCCGGAGGCCCGGCGAUCACCGGGUGGCGUUAUUCCUCCAAUAACCGCCUGCCCGCCGAGCAGUUUUCCGGAUAAAUUUCAGGACUUUUUCACCGCUCUGACGGAGGAUGCGGACGACAUGCCGAGCUUGCUCGAAGACAAACUCAUCCCCAGGAAAACAGAGCCGAUUAACCCCGAUUUCCGCCCACGCCUCUGGAGCAAACGAACUUUCCAACGGCGCAGCAGCGAGAUCGAGGUACGUGCUCAUCACGCUUCUUUCACCGCGGGCCAGGGCCAAAGCUCCUCCGUAGACGGGCCCAAGUCACCGAAUCCUUCCAGGAGGCGAAGCUCCAGCAUCGCCGUCGCCAGACCGACGCCAGAUCUGCACAGGUUUCUUCAGGCAGAAGCUGGCCCAUGGGGACACUUGUCUCCGUCUCCUAGAAGUCCAACCAGAACUGCUGCGAUUAGUCCCGGCGGACUUUCGUCAACGUCACAUCUGAGUCCCGGAGCAAGUCCCGGAGGACCAAGUCCAACAAGUCCUGCCGGUCCGGCGUCUGCGGGUCGUGGACCAUCACAUCGACAAUACCGUUGCAGGACGAGCAGCAUGCCAGCAGUCCCACGUCACAGACCAAUGCUCGCCGAGAUGAAACGUAGCGGGAUAAACGGCGCCGAAGAGGCCGAGGGUGAAGACGGGGUCGAAUACUACAGACUUCGCUCAUUCUCCAUAACAGCGAACGGCGUUUUCAACUUGGGCGACUCGCUGAGAAGUCGACGUAGUAAAAGUAUCAAUAGCGUAACAUCUUCGGGAACAAGUUGCAGCAGCUCUCGCGAUGCCAGACACCUGAGCCUGGCAUCGCAGCUGUCGGGAACAGAAGGUGAGGAAGACGACAGCAACGGACGCGUCGCUACUUACAAGGUCGGGAUGUUGGGUGCUUCUGGUGUCGGAAAAACGGCUUUAACAGCCCAGUUCACAACCAGCGAGUACAUCUGCGCGUACGACGCUUCGCUAGACGAGGAAUACGGCCAGAAGACGGUGUCCGUUAUGGUCGACGGUCAAGAGACGGAGCUAGAAAUCAUCGACCAUCCAGCCUCGGAAAUGUCGGUCGAGUCCUUUUGCUCAACCUACAACCCGGACGUUUACGUGGUUGUCUACUCAGUCGUCGAUAGAAGAAGCCUGAAAAUGGCGGAGGAGACCCUGCUCUAUCUUUGGAAAAGUGACUACAUGGCGUCGCACGGCGUUAUCCUCGUUGGGAAUAAAGUUGACCUGGAAAGAAAGCGAGAGGUCCCAUUAGUCGUUGGACGUCGGCUGGCAAACAGUUGCGGAUGCAAGUUCAUCGAGACUUCGUCCGGCUUGGCCCACCACGUAGAUGAGCUGCUCGUCGGAAUUCUUGCUCAAGUCAAGCUCAAUCCUCAGCGAGAUCGAGAUCAAGCAACUAGGAGAAAAAGGAGUAAACAUCGCCGGCGUAUGCUCAAGCAUUUACUCGGUAUCAAGAGAAAAACUAAGAGCUGCGAAAAUCUCUUCAUAUUAUAAUUUCGCGAGAAAGCGUUCAGCGGUGAGUAUGAAUGAGAAGAAAUUUUGUACGAUGAUCGGUGUGAUUUUCAUUGAUUCGAAUGAUAAUUUUUACAGCUUUAGAUCUUCGGGUUUUCUUAGCCUAGGAAUCCAAUUAUACAGUCUCUGUCUGUCAUGAAAUUUAAGAUUAUGUAUACUUAUGUAUGAUAAGGCCAUGGCCGAAUAGAGCUAAGUGUGAGAGUCAUACCUGAAGAACAUGUAACUCCGAUUUCUUCAACCCACGUUAUUUCGAAGACGACGAAAACCAGCGUGUACCUGCCUCACGAAAAAUGAGAUUUUAAGGUACGACAGGUGCCGACCAGCAGUUACUAUUUUAAGAUGUUCUUAUUAUUGAGCGAAUGGGGCGAUAAUUUUUAAAACAAGACAAUGCAGUUUUCAAAUAUAAAUGUAAUAAUUGAUAAGGUGAGUGAAAUUUAUUCAUAAUGAAUGUAAUGAUGUGGUAAUUAGAUUUAACUUUCAUCUAAAAGGGAACACCGUAAUAAUAAUCAAUAAUUUAAUGUUUAAGAAAAAUAUUUGACGAUUCAAUAAUGUGGCACUGUAAAUACGUACAUUGUAUGUUGUAUUAUACAUAUAUGUAUAUUAUAUUAUUCUAUAAAAUAAUCAAUAUACAUUUCAUUUGAUAACUCGAAUGUGUUAUGCAUAAGUAUAUUACCACGUUCUGACCCAAAGGGUUCAGUGUUUUGGCACUGCUAGGAAUUGUGCAAAAUAACAAGGCUAUUGGUUUGCAUGAAGGAUGGAGAACAAGGACGCGAGGGAGAAGUAUUUCUCCCUAAUUUUACCUAAUUAUCAAUGAGAAUAUCUCCGUUUUUUAUCAUAAUUAUCUUUCUUCUAAAACUACUAGCCAGAUGAUUGUUGGUGACGAGGUGAAAUUAUUUUUUUGAAGUUUCAUGUCUUUCUACAUAUUUUAGUCAAGAAAAACAUUUAUUUUUAAACAUGAAAAUAUCGUAAAACAUUCGUUUCGCCUAGAUUUAAUCGGAUUAAAGAAUGAUGGUCGACUAAUGAUCUCUUUUGAUAGUAUUCAGAGGAAAAAUUACUGCAAAUUCAGAAAUUAUAUCGUGCUGUUGCUGUGUGUAAUUUGAUUAACUCCUCAAAAUCUUAACAAAAUUCAACGAAAGCUAGCAGCAUAUAAACAUUGACAUUGAAAAACAUCCAGUUUUGAUUGAUUUAAUUUUUACGAUCCCAAGCAUCACAGAUGCUCAUCAUUUCAAUACAUGAAUAGGGCUGUCAACUGAUGAUUCGAGAAUGAAGACACAUUCUAUGAACAGAAUAAAUUCGAACUUUCGCUUACACGCGUAUGGCUAGAACAAAAGAACAAAGUAGGACCAAUAGCUUAGCUGCACUUGAAGCGAUAAGCUAGACGUUUGUAAAAUUUGAGUAUGCUUCAUUAUGUUAUGAAUAUGUGCAAUUCAUGUAUGACAAACGCAGCAAGUAUGAAUGAUACCUUCAUGUUGAACUUCAACUGAAGAAUAUUGUGUACAUCUUGAAUAAAUCAGUCGUGUUAUAAAAGUUAUGAAGAUUUCCCAGAUAAAAUUUUUAAGAAUUUUAAUAAAGCAUGUGAUGUUGUGUAUGCCUAACUUCUGUAAAUAUUAGUAUGUAGCAAAAUUACAUUAAGAUUUAUAUCCUAACGCAUGGUUCUAUAAUAAAACCGAUAUUUACGAGGUAUUACAAGCCUUUUGACUUACGUAUCAGGUUGUCAAAUGUGAGUACUUUAACGUAUGUGGACCACUAUAGUCAACAGAAACUCUUUUAAAUGCACCAAAAUUCAUAAAUAAACUAUGCAACAUUGCAAUCGAUUCUGAUAUAUUAUUCUCGUGCAUCUGUUGCAUGUAACUUUGGCACGAAUGAAAAAAUAUUACCAUAGUCUAGGAAGAAACGAAACUUGAGAGAUUACUUGAAAAAAAAAAAUACAUGUUAUGCGUGUGAGGGAUUCUUAUAUGGAAAUAAG
This 4050-nucleotide unclassified non-coding RNA is filed under the name Neodiprion lecontei (redheaded pine sawfly). RNAcentral describes it as "gTP-binding protein REM 2, transcript variant X1". The record is from RNAcentral. Lineage: Eukaryota; Metazoa; Arthropoda; Insecta; Hymenoptera; Diprionidae.